Molecule: long non-coding RNA, 23093 nt
Filed under: Marmota monax (woodchuck)
Lineage: Eukaryota; Metazoa; Chordata; Mammalia; Rodentia; Sciuridae
Source: RNAcentral
AGAAAAGAAAGCAAGGACAUAAUGCGUAGAAUUGGAGCCAGUUAAACUAGGUUUGUAUAUUUUCUUUCCAUAAUAACAUUGUUUAUUUUACACUUGAAUCCCUUUCUAUCAAUUGCUUGAAUUAUACUAGUAGCAAAUCUUCUCAUUUUGAACCUUGCCAUAGUAGUAUGGAAGAGAAAGAAUACAUGCGGUUUCAAAGUAUUUGCACUGCAACUGUGAAUUUGAAAGACAGAAUGAUGAAAAAUCUAAAUAAUAUUCUCAUUUUAAGAUGAGAAGCUUUAAGUUCAAAAGCUUGAAGACAAGAGACUGGAGUUGUGGUUCAGUGGUAGAAUGCUUCCCUAGCACAUGUGAGGCACUGGGUUUGAUCCUUAGCACUAUAUAAAAAGAUAAUUAUAUAAAAUGAAGGUUUUGUGUCCAUCUACAACUAAAUAAAAUAAAAUAAAAAGCUUGUAAACAGUCCAACUGGGAUUCAGUCUCAGAUACGUUGAGUCAAAACCACAUUUAUUUUCUAGUUAUAUAUCAAAGUCCUUUGUUUUAUUUAGGUUUAGUUUGUUUUACAACUACUGAUUACUUAUAUGUAUUUCCCUUAAGGAAACUUUCUAAGAAACUAAAAAGAGGGAAAAGCAUUCCCUAUUCUCCUAAAGUUUAGAAGAAGAGAAAGGAACUAACAUUUAUAAGCACUUAUUAUGUGCCAGACACUAUCGUUAAAGCCUUAACUGAGGUAACUCCAUUUAAUUCACAAUAGCCAGGUGAUGUACUUGUUGCUAUCCUUCAUCUUUAAAAUAGAGAAGUGAGUGAAUUGCCCAAGAUCACAUAGCUUGUUAGUAACAAAAGGAGAAUUAAAAGUCCUUUUUGAGAAAGAUUUUAUAGGGUUUCCAUCAUGCCUAUUAACUUAAAAUUUCAUAUCACACAAACCAAACAAAUAGCGGAACUGUUCAGUCUGAGCAUGCUUGGCUGUUAAUGUCAUUUGUAAACAUUCUAGCUUUGUGUGUGUGUGUGUGUGUGUGUGUGUGUGUGUGUGUGUGUGGUGCUGGGGAUUGAUCAUUUGUAAACAUUCUUAAUUUGACAAUUAGUAGUUGAAUCACCUCACCAAAAUAGUUACAUACUUUUUCUUAAUAAGCUUUCCAAUGUAACCAGUCAUUAAAGCUACAUGAUCCUAUGAAGAGAGAUUUAAAAUUCACAAAAUAGUGUGACAGACAUAGCAACAGAUGAGAGAAAGGACUUUGAGGUGUGGGAAUCAGAUCUAAAUCCUUUUGUCUCCCUGCUUCCUCACUGAUCUGUGUGCCCUAUAGGUCUCUUACCUUGCAUUCGUACACAUUUUGUAACUGAGAAGGUUAAUUGUUCCUUUAAUCUCUUAACAAUUAUUAAUCUAUCGUAUUUUAAUUUUUUUCUUUUUUCCAUUUUUUGUUGGUGUAUUAUGAUUGUACAUAUUAGUGGAAUUCAUUGUUACAUACUCAAAAAGUACACACCUAUCAUUUUAUAUACUUCAAAUAUAAAUCUCAAAUAAUUUUUAGAGAUAUAUCUAUAGAGAUGUCUUAAUUGAACGCUUCUGUAUGAGGGAAGUGAGAUCAUCAUGUUUGUAUAGUACUUUAAACAUUUCAAAGGUUUCUCACAUUUAUUAAUCUUUUACAAAGCCUCACCACUCUCUGGUGGGUUAAAUAUUAUCAUUUUCAUUGUCCAAAUGACCAAAUUGAAUUGGCUCAGGGUCCCAUUGCAGGACCUAAUUGAGUGAAUCUGUAACCCUCAAACUAAAGUUUACCAAGUUUUCUUGUUUUAAAGGACUAAUCACACCUUUGUGAUGUAGUUCUAUUGUGUGAGAAAAUGAGAGUACAGUGCUUCAUAAAAGAAAUCUAAGUAGGAGAAAUAAACGUUUUCUUCUGUGAAAGUUGUAAUGACUACACCAGAAGAAAUAGCAGAAACAAACAUGUAAGGAAAGGGUAGAAACUUAGGUCUAUGUGUUAAUUUAAUGUUUGUUUUCAUUUAUUCCUGGAUUACGAAUAAGCAUAAUUGACUUCUUUUUAAUAACUUUAUUUUAUUUAUUUAUUUUUGUGUGGUGUUGAGGAUCAAACCAGUCCCUCAUAAGUGCCAGGCAAGUGAGCCCACCACCCCAGCCCAUAAUUGACUUUUUUCUUUUUUUUUUUUUUUGCGGGGCAGGGUACAGGGGUUGAACUUAGGGGCACUUGACCACCAAGCCAUAACCCCAGCCCUGUUUUGUAUUUUGUUUAGAGACAGGGUCUCAAUGAGUUGCUUAGUGCCUCACUUUUGCAGAGGCUGGCUUUAAAUUCACAAUCCUCCUGCCUCAGCCUCCUGAGCCGCUGGAAUUACAGGCAUAUACCAUGGCUCCUGGCCCAUAAUUGACUUUUAAUAUCCUUGUAUUAAUCAGUAGUGUACUAUUUGGGUUGCUUUAGCCUUAGCAAAAUAUUCAAGGAGAUCUUACUUUAUAAUGAGAUAUUUUUAAAUUAUAGUUGAGCUAAGGAGAACUUAAAACAGUUAAUUCAAAAGGAAGCCAAAAAAACAAACAAGUAAAUAAAUAAGUAUGAGAAAUUAAACUUCACACAAAAUUAUAUGUUUCAUUGCCUUUAUUGAUAUGAAUUUUCCUUAUAUUUCUACUCCAAUUGUGGAGAUAUUACUUAGAAACAGUAUUUGUCUCCAUGCCCUUGAUCUUACUGGGCAGAACAAGUUACUUAAACUUGCUUACUUUCUGUAAAUAAUAUUUUUUUUUCAAUUAGAAAGAAAAUUAUCUUAAAAUUGGUAUGUGGACAUAAGCAGUUUUUCUUUUACAGUUUUGAUACCCAGGUUUUCUUUUCUUUAAAAAGAAUUGAUUUUCUAGAUUAUGUGGUAUUAUGGUGCAUUCUCUGCAAAUACAAAAAAUUGAUCAUUGAAAGAAUCUCUACUUUUAUUCUGUAUUAAGUUUUUUUAAGAUGAUAAGCUAAAAAUAUUCUAUAGCACUAAAAAAUGAAAGGAGGCUUUCCAAAAAUGGUUCUAAUCAAAUAAGGAAAACAGGAUAGAGUUGUAGAAAAAAAUUUGAAAGCAACAUUAUAAGAUUUGACUUAAAAUAGAGGAGAAAAAUGUAUUAUGUCCUUCCAAAAUACAUUUUUCUUUUUUUUUUAAUUUUUAUUAUUGGUUGUUCAAAACAUUACAUAGUUCUUGACAUAUCAUAUUUCAUACAUUUGAUUCAAUGGGUUAUGAACUCCCAUUUUUACCUUGUAUACAGAUUGCAGAAUCAAGUACAUUUUUCUUAAGAAUCAUUUUUGAGAUUCUUUUGCCCAACUUUCCACAUGCUCUGUCCUACAGAGCUCAGUCUCCCUUCCUACUCCCAUUCUCAUGCCAUCACAGAUCCUUAGAAUUCAGGAAAAUUAUGUUUGAUGCAGACUUGUAUAGAGCUGUUAUAAGUUCUCAGCUUUUCAUUUGACCUCAAAACAUGUACAAGGGUUUUACUUUUCAGCCAUUGCUUUAUGGUACUUUAAAGUAAAAAAUGAAAAGGCCACUACACAGCAGUUAGUUUUUAGUUUUUGUUUUGUAACAGUUUAAACAGUUCAUUAUAUUAAAUCUGUUGUAAAUAUGAUUAUGUUUUGCUUCCCCAGAUUCUGUAGCCAGUUUUAAGAACUACUGUUAGCUUCUCAGUGGCCAGCUGUGAUUUAGUGAUCUUAAUAAAGUUGUAACUUUUAGCAGAGGGCUUAGAGCUUUUAAAGAUGACUGGACUUUUUUUUGUAAUUUGUGUUUUUCUUGUUUGGCUUGGGUAUUAAAGAAUUCUUCAUUAGAGUCAGCUGCAAGCUUGCCAGGUUUGUAGGCUGAUGUCUCAUUAAUAUUAAAACAUUCCCUUGGUACAUGUGUGCCAUGUGCGUACCCUGUGAUUCAGAAGGCAUGAUUUUAACACAUAAAGUCUUUUAAUUUCUUUAACUAUUCAUUUCUAUAAAGAAAUUGCUGAAAUAUUUAACUUUUGUUUUCAUCUUAUUGGCAAACCUGCUAGCAUUAAACAGGGCUUUACCUGGAGAUUGACUGAUUUAUUUUUUUAUUUAUUUUUUUUUUAAUUGUUGGUUGUUCAAAACAUUACAUAGUUCUUGAUAUAUCAUCUUUCACACUUUGCUUCAAGUGGGUUAUGAACUCCCAUUUUUAGCCCAUAUACAGAUUGCAGAAUCACAUCAAUUACACAUCCAUUGAUUUACAUAUUGCCAUACUAGUGACUGUCAUGUUCUGCUAGCAAUAGUAACAAAAACAGCAUGGUACUGGUACCAAAACAGGCGGGUGGACCAAUGGUACAGAAUAGAGGACACAGAAACCAAUCCACAAAACUACAACUAUCUUAUAUUUGAUAAAGGGGCUAAAAGCAUGCAAUGGAGGAAGGAUAGCAUCUUCAACAAAUGGUGCUGGGAAAACUGGAAAUCCAUAUGCAACAAAAUGAAACUGAAUCCCUUUCUCUCGCCAUGCACAAAAGUUAAUUCAAAAUGGAUCAAGGAGCUUGAUAUCAAAUCAGAGACACGCCGUCUGAUAGAAGAAAAAGUUGGCUACGAUCUACAUUCGGUGGGGUCGGGCUCCAAAUUCCUCAAUAGGACACCCAUAGCACAAAAGUUNGAGAGGUGGGAGGGAAAGGGAGAGAAAAGGGAAAUUGCAUGGAAAUGGAAGGAGACCCUCAGGGUUAUACAAAAGAACAUACAAGAGGAAAUGAGGGGAAAGGGAAAAAUAAUACAAGGGGGAGAAAUGAAGGGGAUAGUAGAGAUUGACUGAUUUAGUAUUGUCAUGGGUUUAUUUCUCUGUAUGUAGUAUGGUUUCUGUGCUAGCGUACCUUCUAAAAGUGAUUUCAAUGCCUAGUAAGAUGUAUGGACGUUUGAGGAGCUAUCAGAUCCUUUUUGAUGUUAGGUUCAAUCUCAGGUUGGGAAUAAAGGAAAUAUGGAAUGUUGACUUCUGUGUAUAUAGGUGUGUGCAUGUUUUUGUAUGAUCUAAACAUCCAGGAAAUGAAAUGAACUUAUUUGAUUUACAGCUUCCUUCCAGAAAAGGUUAAAGUUUAACAUGGAGAUGGAGUUAUAGGGAAAUCUUGAUUAGUUUUCCUCUUUCAAAUGUAGCACUACUUAACAAUGAAAUGAUUUAAUGUUGCUCAGGACUGCAUUCUGUAUCUUGGUAUUAUAUUUGAAAGAAUAAAAUAAGUUGAUUCAUAUUUUCAAAAAUAGAAAUGUGACAUUAAAGGAAAAUUAUAGGAUCUGUGGCUUACAUUUUUAAGAUAAGUACAUUAGUAUUUGACCCAUUUAUUAAAUCUGUCAAAGAAAAUAGUGUCAAACAAGUAUAAAUUUUCAAAAUAUUAAUUAAAUAUUUUGUUAGCACAUGUAUACAUAUAUGUGUGUGCAUGUCACCUUUAUUUUUCUUAUUUUUUGAAGUGAGAAGACUGGAUAAAUUUUGCAAGUAUUCAAAAAUUAUCCUGCUGGAUGACAUUGGGAAUAUUAUUGAAAUAAUUAUUUGCUUCAAUCCUUAAAUCUAUCUCCAAAAAAUAAAAACAAACAAUAACAAAAUACAAAGGCAAUUAAUCUCUUUUUUUUUGAAAAUGUAAUGAAUUUGCCCUUAAAAUCGUGUGAACAGUCUUACUAGCAUUGCUUGUUUUUACAUAUAACCAGAACAUUUUCAUGUAAGAUUUGAUAGUUCAAAAUGUUGUUAGUCUGCAAAUCUUCUGUAGGAAUAGUGAAAGAUUGCAAAAGAAUUAUGGACUUUAGAUUGUCUGAUUUGAUUGUAUUGAGUGAAUUUAGUAAAAAUUACUUAUUUUCUCAUCUCCAGUAAUGUAAAUAUCUCAUGUCUUAUAAAAUUAAUAAUCACCUGCAUCAUUUUGCUAGCAGGAAUGCUGUUUCACAGACUUUUUUUUAAAAUAGCAAACUAUAGAGAAAAUCUGAUAUUAUAAAGGGAGUAGAAAAAACCAUACACUGUCUACAGUGUGAGCUUUGAUUAUUUCAAAGAGGAGAGACUGCUUUCCAAAUAUCAUCUAUUCAAAGUUAGUAAGGUCAGCUGUUCAGAGCCCUUAAAGAAAUGACAUAAAACCAGUGACAGAGAAUAUUGGAAAUCAGUCUUACUGCCUGCAGCCAAGUUUAUAAAACCCACUUGAGUGCAUAGAAAUGUAUUGUUUAUUUUUGAGAUAAAAAUUCAACAGACAUGUGGAAGAUAAAUAGAUUUUAGAAUAAGAAGAGCCUUCAGAAAUCAUUUGAUAAUCCCCUUUCAUUUCACAAAGAGAAAUCAGGGGUGAAAAGUUAAUUUACUGGGCUGAGGAUGUGGCUCAAACGGUAGCGCGCUCGCCUGGCAUGCGUGCGGCCCAGGUUCGAUCCUCAGCACCACAUACAAACAAAGAUGUUGUGUCUGCCGAGAACUAAAAAAUAAAUAAAUAUUAAAAUUCUCUCUCUCUUUAAAAAAAAAGUUAAUUUACUUAUUUGGCAUCAUAUAGACAGUGACAACAGUAAGACUAAAAAUUCUUCACUUUUAUUUUAAAUAAUUAAUUGAAAUUAAAACUUAAAGAAUUGUGAUGAAAAUUAUUUUUAUUAUUGCUAUUAAUAUUUUAAAUUUACAUAUAGUAAAGUUGACUCUUUAAAAAUAAGUUUGUUAGCCAAGUUUGGUGACCAUGCCUGUAAUCCCAGUGACUCAAGCGGCUGAGGGAGGAAGAUUGCAAGUUGAAGGGCAGACUCAGCAACUUACUGAAGACCCUGUCUCAGAUAAAAAAUAAAAAGGGCUGGGGAUAUGGCUUACCUCUAGGUUCAAUCUCCAGUACCAAAGUAAUACAGUACCAAAGAAGAAGAAGAAGAAGAAGUAGUAGUAGUAGUAGGAAGAAGAAGAAGAAGUAGUAGUAGUAGUAGUAGGAGUAAUAGUAGUUGUAGUAGUAGUAAUAAUAAUAAUAAUAAUAAUAAUAAUAAGAGGAAGAAGAAGAAGAAGAAGAAGUAGUAGUAGUAGUAGUAGUAGUAGUAGUAGUAGUAGUAGUAGUUGUUCUGUGAACUAAUGCAUGCACAGAUUCAUGUAACUACCACCCCAAACAAGAGACAAAUAGUCCCAUUGCCCCAGAAAACUCCUUCAGGCUUUUCCUUUUUUGGUUAAAAACCUCUUCCUAAACCUCACCCCUAGAUAACUACUGAUCUGUAUGCCAUCACUAAGAUUUUACCUACUCCAGAAUAUUGCAUAAGUGGAAGUAUUUAGUAUGUACUCUUUUGAGUAUAGAGUGUAACUUCUCUCAAGUGAACAUUUUUGAGAUUCAUCCAGGUUUUGUGUAGCAUUGAUCCAUUAUUUUAAUUGGUGAGUAGCAUUUCAUUGUAUCACAAUUUUAUUAUUUACUGGUUAAUGAACAUUUGGUUGUUGCUAGUUUGUUUUAAAGAUUUUUUUUUUAAAGAGCACAGCAAAAUUAAGAGAAAGGUACAGAGAUAUCCCUGUCCUUACAAGUAUAUAGCUUCCCCCAUUAUUAACAUCCCCCACCAGAGUGGUAUAUUUGUUAUAAUUGAUAAAGCUACAUCGAGACAUUACAAUCUCCCAAAGUCCAUAGUUUACAUUAGGAUUUAGUCCUGGUGGGUUUGGACAAAUGCAUAAUGGUAUAUAUGUAUCAUUAGAGUAUCAUGUAGAAUAUGUUCACUGUCCUAAAAAUCCUGUGUUCUUCCUAUUCUUUCCUUCUCUCUUCAGUUUCUGGUAAUCCGCUAGUCUUUUUUUACUGUUUCCAUAUUUUUGCCUUCUCCGGAAUGUCAUACAGUUGGAAUCAUAAUAUGUAGUCUAUUUAGUUUGACUUCUUGUUUGCAGAUUUUAGCUAUUAUGGAUAAAAACAUUAAAAUUCUUUUUAGAGAAAAUGAAAAAACUUACAGAUAGCAUAGAGACCUGAUAGAAUGUUCCUAAAGAAUUCACAAAGUUAACUUACUUCUUAAACUUUUUAUUUUAAGAUAAUUAUAAAUUCACGGGAAGAAGCAAGCAUACUUCAAUGAAAUCCAUUCACUCAAUUUCUUUUAUUGUUUUCAGUUUAUGUAGCUAUAGAACAAUAUCAAAACCAGGAAACUGAUAUUGAUGUAAAGAGAGUAUAUAGUUCUUUGGUAUUUUAUUAUAUUAGAUCCAUGUAACCAAUCCUGUAAUUAUGUUACAGAAUUAUUCUGCACUGUAAUAUUAUCUCAUAUGCUGCUGGGAAUUAAAACCAAGGAUGCUCUACUACUGAGUUAUAUCCCUAGACCUUUUUGUCUUUUAUUUUGAGACAGGGUCUCACAAAGUUCCUGAGGCUAGCUUCAAACUUAUGAUCCUCUUGCCUUAGCCUCCCAAGUAACUGGUAUUACAGGCCUGUGACAUCUCACUGGCAAGCUACCUCUCUUUUUAUAGUAAUGCCCCCUCUCCAACCCUAUCCACAGAGAUACUUUCCAGGACCCCUAGUGGAUGCCUAAAACUGAGGAAAGUACUAAACUUGAGUAAUAUCAUAUUUUGUUCUUAUUGUAGAUUGUAGCAACCUCAGUAAAUGACUUUUUCCCCCUUUUCUUUAUGAAACUGAGACUUAUUCCCUUUUCACUUGAGGAAAGCAGUUUGCAGCUACUCUGUGGUAUAUAUCUGGAUUGCUAGCAUCACUACUAUUUCCUGUCUCUUCUUUAUCCUGUUUGUUGGUGAUUUCUAUCUUCCCUUAUUCAGUCUAGCUAGAAAUUUAUCAGUUUUAGUAAUGUUUUUUCAAAAACCAGUUCUUGCUUUCAUUGAUUUUUCUCUGUUUUUCAGUGUCUAUUUUAUUGAUUUCUCUUCUUUGUUAUUUUGUUACUUUCUCUUGUUUUGGCUUAAUUUACUUCCCUCUCCCAGCUUUGUAUGCUAGAAGCUUAGAUAAUUGCUUUUAGGCCCUUUAUUCCCUAAUAAAAGCAGAAAACUCUAAAUGUUCUCAAAGCACCUUUUUAACAUCAUCUUACAAAUUUGGUAUGUUGCUUUUUAAAAUAUUCUUUGUACAUUAUUUUAGAAGUAUAUUGCUUGAUUUCUUAAUCGGGAACUUUUCAAUAUCUAAUUCCAUUGUGAAAGAAGAAUCACUGUAUAUAGUUCCAAUUCUUUUAAUUUGUAAAGACUCAUUCCUGAUUCAGUAGAUUGUUUGUCUUGAACAAUGUUUCAUGGGCAUUGAAAAAAUUUAUACUUUGCCACUGUGGAUUGGAGUGCUCUAUAAAUCUCAAUUCAACAGAUCAGAUCUUAUUUAUUUGCACUUUUGGUAUAUCUGUUCUUUCAAUUACUGAGAGAAGAAUGUCAAUAUCUCCAACUGUAAUUGUGUCUGUUUCUCCCAUCAUUUCUAUCAGUUUUUGCUUCAUGUUUUUUGUACAUAUGAUGUUGUAUCCAUACAUAUUUAGAAUUGUUCCAUCUGCAGAAUGAAUUAAUCUCCUGGUCAUUACCACAUGUCUUUUAUUCUGUCUGAUAAUAUUCUUUGCUUUGUAUUCUACCUUACCUAAUAUAAAUGCAGCUUUUCCAACUUUCUUAAUAUUUUAGUUUGAUAUCCUCUAUUAACCUAUUUCCUUAUUUUUAGUGUACAAUUCUUAUAUUUGGGUGCAGCAUGUAUUUGAGUCUUGCUUACUUAUAUGUCAUAUUCAUAUAUAUAUAUAUAUAUAUAUAUAUGUACAUAUAGUUUAUAUAUAUAUAUAUAUAUAUAUAUGUGUGUGUGUGUGUGUGUGUAUAAAUAAAACUUUUUUUCUCUUGCAGUAAGAAUAUAAGUUAAGUAAUGAGAGGCAAGAAAGAAAGGACAAUCAUCUUGGAAAGAUCACAAGCACUUUGAAAUUUUGAAGGAAUGUAAUACUAGCUGCUAAAAUCACCAGAAUGGAUGAAGUUCUUCAAAUUUAAAUGGUAACCAUAAUUCUUCUAUUAUGUUAUGUUUCUACUAAGAACUUUAGAUGGCUUGAAAAGAUUUCUUUUUAAGUUUAAAUGUUUGUCUUACAAAUGCCAAACAGUGGAUAAAGCUGACUGUUUUAUAACUUAAUAUUAUCAGGCUUUAUUUUGGUCCUUAAUGUUUGUUCAAAAGAUUUGUUUUUCUCCCAGUUUCACUUAAACUUACCUGGGAAUUAAUAUAGCAUAUAUUAGUACAUUUGUAAGUGCAUUUUUCACCAAAUGUUUUUCCUUUUGUAGAAAUAAACUAAACAAUAUAAGUAGUAGUUAUUUUUACAUAUUUAAAAAAAGUUAUUUGAUCUUUUCUGAGUUUAUUUCAUGUUGUUUUUAGUUUCCCUAUGUUGGCACAUGGUUUCAUUUUCUCCUUUCAUAUCUGACAUCUUAUUUUUAUUUCAUCUUUAUUUUCUCCUUUCUACCUUAAAAAAGAAAAAAAAAUAGGCCUGUUGGAAUUGAAUUACAAAAGGCAUAAGGAUCAAGAAUAGGAAAAGGAGAGAGAAAUUUGAAAAGAUUAUAAAAUUUUUCUUCUAAUAAAUUGCAUGGACUGUUAGAUUUCAAGUACAGUGAAAAGCAAUUAUUUACAAAUUUACAAAAUCCCAAAAAAGAACUAUUUGAUUUUCCUACCUGUAAUAAUUCAGAAGUCAUAUAACAGAUCCAUGAGGUACAUAGAAUACUUCUAUAUUUACAUAUUAUUUUUCUGGCCCCAUUUAAGCUGAGUGUCUCCAGAAUCCCAAAUCCUUGCCUUUGAAGAGGGAAUGGCACGGUGGCGCGCACUUUAUAAUCCCAGUGGCUUGGGAGCCUGAGAUAGGAAGAUCGCUAGUUCAAAGUCAACCUCAGCAAUAGCAAAGCGCUGAGCAACUCAGUGAAAUUUUGUCUCUGAAUAAAAUACACAAAUAGGGCUGGAGAUGUGACUCAGUAGUUGAGUGCCCCUGAAUUCAAUCCCUGGAACCAGGAAAAAAAAAUUUAAAAGAGGGUAUGGAAUGAGAUUUUAAUUGUGUAAUUCACAGAAUUUCUAACUUGCACAACUAGAAACUUAUAUUUUCAAUUGCAGACGCUAUCAUGGCCAAUGUGAAGAAGUUAAAAUUUAAAGGAUGACAUUUUAGCUAGGUAACACUAAGGUUGAGUCAAACACCUAAUUUUAUUUAAGUUCAUUUCAUUAGCUGUAAUCUAUGGCCCUUGUGAAUCUGAGCAUGUUUUUGCAAGCAAAAAGACCACUCUGAACAAUUUGAUAUCUCUCUGGAAGCUUAAACUCAUAAAGUUUUAUAGAGCUUUUAAAGCAUUCUUUACAAUACCUUAAUGUAGGAAAACUGUACUUAUGCAGGGAAGCCUAUGUGUAGUUUUCUCAAACAAAGCUGAAUUUAAAAUAAUGGUAAUUAAUCUGUAUUGAAUGGUAAUAGCCAUAUGCCUAGCACUGAGAUUAGCUUUUAAUAUGCUGCCUUAGUCUAUUUGGGCGGCUAUAAUAAAAAUACUUUAAGUUGGAUGGUUUACAAACUACAGAAGUUUAUUUCUCACAGUUCUGGAGCCUGGUAAGUCCAAGAUCAAGGCAUUGUUGGAGUUAGUGUUUGGUGAUAGCCUGCUUCCUGACUCAUAAAUGGAGUCUUUUUUCCAUGUCCUUACAUGGCAGAAAGGGCAAAUGAGGUUUCUGGAGUUUCUUUAAUAAAGGCCCCAAUCCCAUUAAUGAAGCAUUUAUCUCUGUGACCAAACAACCUACCAAAGACUUCACUCCCAAAUACCAACACAUUAUCAACAUAGGAAUUGGAGGGUGGGGCUUAAACAUUCAUUUUAUUGCAUUUGCAUUAUCCUUAUGUCUCACAAUUCUGUUUGACAUAGGUCUUAUUAUUUUAAAAAAUCCAUUUAACAUAUGAGGGAACUCAUUCUCAAAGAAGCUAAGUAAUUGCUUAAUAUCAAGUGACUAGUUAGAGGUGGAGCUAGAUCUGUCUGACUGCAAAGCCUAAGCUCUUAAGCAGGAAUUUGUUGUUGUUUAUGAAGACUUAAACAGAACCUGUUGAAAUUAUUUCUUCUUUAUUUAGUGGCAAAUAAGGACAAGGUAUUUUUCUUAGCAAUAUCCUUGUUGUAACUCUAAAAUUAUGCUCCCUCAAGAUGUAUGUUUCUUCUGCAGCAUCAAUUUUGUUUCUUUAAUAAUUUGAUUGUUUUAUGUUCUUAAUGUAUUAGCUAUUGUAUUAUAUAAAAGGAAAGAUAUAGUCAUGGAACUUUAAUUUGGCUGCUUAAAAAGAUAACUUAAUCUACCACUAUAUAAAGUUGAAUUACUUGAAGAUGAAAAUGGUAGUCCCCACAUUUUACUUGAGAUAAAGACACAGGAAAAAGAGAAGAAUAGGAUAUGAGUGGGGGGAAAAAAAUCAAAACGGAGCUUUACACUCAUCUGUCUUCCCUUGAAAUCUUAUUUACCUUUUUCCUUUCUCUUUAUUCCUCAAAAGAUUUUCAGUGCUUUUCAAUUUCAGAAGGCUAUACUACCAUUAAAAACUAAAAUGGUAGUGAAUUCAGAGACCAGUUAAUCCUAAUGGUAUAAGUUUUAUGUUCAAUUUAUGUAUAAUUCCUUUCAAAUAGGUACUUAUUAUUCUGUUAAUUGUAGAAAACUAAAUAUAGUAAAAACUCCACCAAGAUUCAACAUAGUAAAAGUAUAUCUUGAUAUACCAGUUUAACUCAAUUCCUUAACUCCCAGCAAGACUUUUUGUAGACAAGUAUAUCAGUGAUAUAUAUAUAUAUAUAUAUAUAUAUAUAUAUAUAUAUAUAUAUAUUAUAUUUAUAUACUUAUGAUGAUACAUAUAUAAUCUAAAAUGUAUAUAGAAGGCAAGAGAUUUCAAAUCACUAAUUUUGAAAGAGUAGAAUAACAUAGAAUCACUUUACCUACUUAUAGGACAUAAUGUAGUCUUAGUAAAAAAGAUUGGUAUUGUCAGUGGAACAGACAUAUAAAUUAAUGGAUCAGAAUAGAUAACCCAGAAAUAGCCCCACACAAAUAUAAGCAGCUGAUUUGGUUUUACAAAUGUAUAAAGGCAAUUCAGAGGAGCCUAUCUAUUCAACAAAUGGUUCAGAAAAAAUCAGAUACUAAUAGGCAAACAAAAAACCUCAAGGUAAGUUUCAUACCUUAUAUACAAAUUAACUUAAAAUGGAUUGUAGAAUUAUAUGGAAAAUGUAAAAGAAACCAAGAAAAAGUCUUUAGGACCUUGGGCUUGGUGAAGAAUAAUUAGAUAUAAUACAAAAGCACAAUCUAUAAGUGUUAGUCAGCUUUCCGUUAAUACAAAAUACCAGAGAUAAUCAAAUGAAAAAGAGGGAAGUUUUAUGUUGGCUCACAAGUUUGGGAGAUUUCAGUCUGUGGUCACUUGGCCCUGUUGCUUUUGGGCCUGUCAAGGCAAUAAGUCAUGAUGGGGAGUAAUGUGAUGAAGCAAGCUGCUCACUUCAGUGGGACCAGGAAGCAAAAGAGACAAAGAGGAGGUACCUAAAUCACACAGUCCUCUUAUUGGGCACACCUCCAAUGACUUAAGAUUUCCCACCAGAUCCUACUUCUUAAAGUUUUGACUACCUUCCAAUAAUGCCAAGCUGAGAACUAAACCUUAACACAUGGGUCUUUGGAGAACAUUUAAGAUCUAAACCAUAACACUGUAAAAAGAAAAAGAAAAAAGUAAGCUAGACUUCAUGAAAAUUAAAACUUUUGUUUUGCAAAAACAAACAAACAAACAAAAAACCUGUUAAGCGUGGUUCUGGGAAGAUGGCAGAGUAGAAAGAACCAGGAAUCUGACUCAAGUGUAGGCAAUAAUUGUACUAGCAAAAUCUAAGUAACUGUUUUGGAACUCUCAAGCAUAUUAAAGGCUUACAACUUUCAGGGGGAACCUUGGAAGGUAAAUUAUGGGUGAUUUUGGCCAAUUUCAGCUCUUGUAACAGUAGCAGCUAUCCACCCUCCACCAACCCCCCAGCCCAGUGGCAGGUAACCAGGCAUGUGUUCCCCGAGCAGCUUACACACAGCUUCCAGAGUGGGCCAAAGUAACCCUCUGCUCUACAUACCAAGAAUCUAAUCACCUAACGAUGGUCUCAUAACAGAGAUCUAGAAAAAGAAGUGCAGAUACCUCUUCCCAUUGUUUCAAGUCCCCUAUCUUUACCUCCAUCUGAAGGACUUUGAAGUAAAGGACCCAUAGACUUUUUUCUCCCUUUUAUUUCUCUCUCUUUCCCCUUUGUGAUCCAAACAUUAAACACUAAGACAUGUAAAUCAAGUGGAUUAAGUGCAGAAAGUUAGAAAGUAACCAUGUAUGUCCACAGGAAAGGUUCAGGCUUAGCACGAUCUGACAUUUACACUUCAGACUGUUAUUUGCCAUAAAUAUUGUCUACAAUUAAAAAGCAAACCUUGGAAAAGGGGGUUUCCAGAGAGACCAAUUGUAUUAGUCAGUUUUCCAAAUUGACUAAUUUCAAAUACUUGACAAAGGGUACUCAUUAACUCAAGAGAGGUUUAUUUUUGCUCAUUGUUCUGGAGAUUCAAGUCCAAGAUCAGGAAGCACAUCAGUGGUGGAAGUGAGUGUCAGGGUGAGCAGUCACAUCUGUUUUUCCUUCCUUUUUUCCAUAUUUUUAAUUGGUAUAAAUUUACGUAACAGUGUGAUUCAUUAUUAAAUAGUUAUACAUGCAUAUAACAAUUGCAGUCACAUUUUGAGACGGGAAGCAGAGAGAGACCCAGAUCUACAGUCCUCUUUGAGGACAUUCUCAUAGUAACUUAAGCACCUCCCACUAGGUUCUACCACUUAAAAGGUUCACAGGACUUUCCAGUACUGCCACUGUGGAAUCAAACUUUUACAUAUAGACCUUUGGGAGGUACUCAUUCAAACCAUAGCAUUCUGCCCAUGACCUCCAUUCUCAUAGUGAAAAGUUUAUUCACUCUAUUCCCAGACUCCCAGAGUUAACUGUUGCAGCAUUGCACUAAAGUCCAAGUACAAAGUCUCUUUCAAACUGGGUGUGGUGACACACUCCUAUUCCAGUGACUCAGUAGGCUGAGGCAGAAGGAUCAUAAGUUUGAGGCCAGCCUGAGCAAUGUAGUGAGACCUUGUCUCAAAAUAAAAAGGACUUGUGGAUGUAGCUCAGUGGUAAAGCACCCCUGGAUUCAAUCCCCAGUACAAAAAAAAGAAAAGAAAAAAUAGAAAAGGUGUGGGGCAUAUGAAGAAAUAAAGAGCUCAACAAAUGUAUUGAGAAUUUUAAAUGCUGGUGUUAUAACAGUGGGCUGUAACUGUACUUUCUGUUUUCUGUAUGAUUUAAUAGAUCAGUACAUUUUAAAACAUUCUCCAAAGAUAUACAGAUAUAAGACCCCAAAUAGAUGAUCACAUCAUUAGGAAAACGCAGAUCAAAACUACUCUGGGAUACCACCUGACACCCAUUAGGAUGACUACAAUCAAUAAAACAGAAAAUUAAACUAGUGUUGAUGAGGAUAUGAGGAAAUUGGAACCCUUAUGCACUAUUGGUGGGAAUGUAAAAUGAAAGCACUGCUGUGGAAAACAAUAAGGAAGUUCUUCAGAAAAUGAAUAGAAUUACUAUGUGGCUGGCCUAGCAGUUUCACCUCUGGGUAGGCUCUCAAAGAAAUAUUUGUACAUUUAUAUUCAUAGCAGCAUUAUUCACAAUAGCUAACUUGUAGAAGCAACCUAAGUGUCCAUUGAUAGAUGUAUGAAUAAGCAAAAUGUGGUAUAUAAAUAUGAUGAAAUACUGUUCAGCCUGAGAAAGGAAGGAAACUCUGACAUAUCCUAUAAUAUGGAUGAACUUCAAGGACAUUUUUCUCAUUGAAAUAAAUGAGACACAAAAAGACAAAUACUAUAUGAUUCCAAUAAUGUGGCAUACUUAAAAUAGUGAAAAUCAUAGGACUCAUAAAGUAGAAUGGUGGUUGCCAGGGGCUGGAGGAAAGGGGAAAUGGGAGUUAUUAAAGGAUUAGCAAGUCAGUUUUACAAGAUGAGAGUUCUAGUGAUGGAUGAUGGUAAUGAUUGUACAGCAUAAUAAAUACAUGUAUUCCCACUGAACUGUACACCUAAAAAUAGUUAAGAUGGUAAAUAUAGAGUGAGUUUUACUUCAGUCAUUCAAAACUUGGGGAAAAUGUGUGUGUGUGUGUGUGUGUGUGUGUGUGUGUGUGUGUUUAAUUGAGGAUAAUUGGGGAGAGGAUAUUUUUAAGAUGUCAAUAGUAGUUUUAACUGAGUAGUGAGUCUUUGGUCAAUUUUACAUUCUUUAUGCUGUUAAGGAAUUUUUUAAAGGUAUUGCAGUCAGCUUGUAUUAAAUCAGAAAAUAAAUGUUAUUUUUAUUUCAAAAGCAAUGUAUGAACUUAUAGAGGAGUAGGUGAUAUUCUCUAGUCAGUAGUGGAGAUAUACUCUUGUGCUGGGAGUUUGUUCUUACCAAUUAUUGUGCCACUGUUGUUAAAUUUACAUUGUAUUUUGGAAGAAUAUGAUUCCAUUAUUCUUUAGUUUUCAAAUACAUUUUUAAGACUUGCUGAAAAACAAUUAUUUUUAUGGGGUUUAUAUCUAUUCUAACAUUAGGUUUUAGAAAUUCUUUACCAUUGAGAUAAUUGCAGCAGAAACAUUCUCUGGUAGUGUAAAUGACCAAAAAUGAAUGUAUCGUGGCAGAAAUUCUGUUUCCACACUUUGUGUUGCCAGCAAGAAGAUACUGUCUGCAUAGUAAAAUUCUAGUCAUUUUAUGUUUCUAAAUUCACUUCUGAAAACACUAUGAGGAGAUGAUCCAGAAAAAGAAUGUUUAUCUGGACUAUUUUGUUUUGUUUUGUUUUGUUUUAAAGAAGUAGUUUCACCUAGGACCUGGCCAUGGGCUGAGUGAUGAUGGAAGAAGAAAUAGGGACCUAUAAGCAAUUGGGAAAGAGAAAAAGAAUAUGGCACUGAGAAGAAUGAUUCCAUUAUUCUUUAGAACUUUUGAUUCAACUCUAACUAGUAGUAAAUGUUUUAGGUUAGGCACAAUCACUAAAGGUGUGAGUGAUUGCAGAACAUAAUAAAUGCAGAUAUCCUCCUUAUUUCUGUUUCUAGUAGGAAAAUUCACUCACUAUCUUCUUAAAACAGUGAAAAACUGUAAAUCUGCAAAAGUGCUGAAGUAACUGUCCUCAAGUGUUAGCAACAGAAUAGUGGAAGAAAAAUAUAGUUUUAUCAUUCUGGCAUGCACCUUUGGAAGAUUAACAAUUCUGGUACAUGGUCACAGGAAAUUUUGACCUAAAAAUGCCAAAUUAUAAAAUGAAAGCAAACUUUAUCACUAAAGAAAUUCAUUCUUUUUGGAGUCAGGCCCAGCUUUUGUUUCCUUCCAUUAGUUUGCCAUGUAAAAAAGGAAGGAAAACAAAACUAUUCUGGUGCGAUAUACACUCUGAUGAUAUAUUGUGGCCAUUGUAUAUAACUUGUGCUAAAGCACAGGUAUGUUUGGUGUGGGGGCUAUUAAAAGGAAACAAGACACAUAUUCUUUAUUUAGAUGCAAAAGGGGGAAAUAUACAGCCAGUAUCUCUAUUUCCAGAUAUGUUUCUUGACUAGUAUUUCUUCUCUACUCCAUUGUACAUCUGCCAAGAAUGGAAAAAUACCAGGACCCAUAGACACUUAUACAUUCUCCCCAAAUCAUCAGGCAAGUGUUCAACAAACAAAAAAAUCUACCAACCACAGUGAGAUGCUUCAUACUCAUGAGGAUUGCUAUAAUGGGGGUGGAGGCUGGGGGCGGGGAAACAAGUGUUAGUAAGUAUAUAGAAAAAUUGGAGCCUUGUGUAUUGCUGUUGAGUGUGUGAAUUAUUUCAGUCAUUGUGAAAAAGUGUAUUGAUUCCUCAAAAAGUUAAAACAUAGAAUUAUCAUACAACAGUUCCCAUUCUAGGUAUUCACCCCAAAAUGGGGAAAACAGGAUCUCAGACAAAUAUUUGUACACAAAUAUUUAUAGCAACACUGUUCAUAAUGGUGAAAAGGUGGGAACAGUCAUCAGCAGAUGAAUGGAUAAAUCAGUUGUGGCAAAUCAGCAGCAGAACAAUAUCUGAAACCCUUCAGAUUUUUGGAAAUAAAAUAAGCAACCCACUUCUAAAUGGCAUGGGAGUGAAAGUGUAACUCUGAAGGGAAAUUAUAAAAUACUUUUAAUUUAAUGAAAAUGAAAUCACAACAUAUCAAAAGUUGUGGAAUGCUGCUGAAGCAGUUGACAAACUUCUACCAUUAAAUGAUUAAUUAGAAAAGAAAAAGGGUUUCAAAUUAAGGACUUAAGCUUUCACUUUGUGAAAGUAGAAAAAGUUGAACAAAUUAAACCCAAAAUAAACAUAAAGAAGGAAUUAAAAACAGAAAUCAUUGGAAUGGAGAGCAAAAUCAGUGGAGAAAUUAAAUGUAACCAAGAGUUUGUUCUUUGACAAGAUGAAUAAGUUAAUAAUCCUUAACUGGACAGAUAAGAAAAACAAAGAAUUUUUAAAUUACUAAUGUUAGUAAUUCAUCAGUUAAUAAUGUUAGGAAUAAGAGAGGGACAUUACCAUAGAUCUUACAGAUAUGAAAAGAACAUGAGAUAAAUAAUAUUAACAAAAUAUUAUCUCCAUAAAUUUAAAACCUUAAGUGUAAAAAUUUCUUGAUAGAGUCCAGGUGUAGAAGCUCACUUAAGAAAAUAAUAGAUAACCUGGAUAGUCCUGUAUGUGUUAAAGAAAUUGAAAUUGGGAUUUAAAACUUUCCACUAAAGAAAACUCCAGGCUCAGAAGCCUUUUACUGGCAAAUAUAAUCAAUGAAUAUUUAAUGAAGAAAUAAUAUCAAUUCUAUGCAAAUUCUGACAGAAUGCUCUUAAUUCAUUUAUUGAAGUCAGUGUUAUAAUAUCAAAACAAGUUAGAUUACAAAAAAGAAAACUAAAGACAUUGACAAAAAAGUCCUCAAGAAAAUAUUAGCCAAUCAAAACUAGUAACCCAUAAAAAUGGUAAUACAUUUUAUCUAAAUUUAAUUUAUUCUGAGAAUAUAAGGUUGUUUUGAUGUUCAGAGUGAAUUGGUGCAAUUCUCCUUAUUAACAAAGUAAAAGGACAAAACCCUGUAUGAUUAUCUCAAUAAUUAGAUACUGCAUCAAUUUAUAAUAAAGAUAUCUCAGCAAACUGGGAAUAGAAGGAAUUUCCUCAACCUAGUAAAGGGCAAAUAUAAAUAUUCUAUGGCUGACAUCAUACUUGAGGAUGAAAAUCUGAAUGCAGGCAAAAAGACCAGAAAAAGUAAAUAAGAGGAAUGCAGAUUGAACAGGAAGAAAUAAAAUUCUCUGUAUUUACAAAUUAAAUAAUUUUCUAUGCAGAAAAUCUCAGAAUCUACCAAAAAGGAGGGGGCACCCCUCCUUGAACUUAUAACUGAGCUAGCAAAGUCACAGGAUUCAAAAUCACUAUAAAAAUUAAUAUUUCUGUAUUCCAUUGAUAAUUAUAAAUUGAAAUUAUAAAGAGCACUGUUUACAAUAGCACUAUGAAACCUGAGAUACUUGGGUACAAAUCAAACAAUAUGUGCAACAUCUAUGCUGAAAACCUACAAAACACUGAUGAAAGAAAUAAAAGAAGAUCCUAAUAAAUAAAAGACACUGUGUUCUAUGGUGAAAAUCACUGUCAAAAUCCUAGCAGGAUUUUUUUUUUUUUAAUAGCAAGCUGAUCCUAAAGUCUAUUUGGAUUGCUAAAGGAAAUAGAAAAGGGAAAAAAUUAAAUAGAAAUGAAGUGAGGACUCUCUUACCUGAUUAAGAACUAUCAAAAAACUAUAAUUAUCAAACUCUGUAUUACUGUUUUUAAAAAAUAGCUGCAUAUAUCUGUGGGAAAGAAUAAACCAUCCAAAAAAUAAACACACAAUCAGUUGAAUUUUCACAAAAGAGCUAAGGUAAUCCAAUGAAAAACAAAAUGAACAGUUAGACAUUCUUUUAAAAGCAAAAGAAACAAAAGAUCCUUGGCCCAUAUCUUGGCACAGGUCUUAGAGAUAAAUGAAAAAAGAAAAAAAAAGAUGGGAAGAGAUUUACUUUGUAAAAGUAGGAAAAUGAUAACUCCUCAGUGAAUUGAAGCAUGGAAAUUGAAGCAGAGGAAAUAGUAAAAUCAGUUAAAUCUUUUGACUGAAGAACAUCAUAUACUUUAUAAUAUUAAUUUUUUCCUACCUUAUUAAGCAUCCUAUUAUUCAUAGAGUACUUUGUAGAUGGGGGAGGGUCAUUAUAAAGUCCUGUUCAGGGAAUCACAUAUAAAUAGUAACAAAAUAAUUGUUAAGUGCUACCUUAUUAGUACCAAGAGAAACCAGAGGAGGGAGCAACAAACACCACACUCAUCCUGAAGAGACUUCCUACCUAGCCCCCUGAGCUCUGAGUGCAGAAGAGGACCACGAGCUGGAGUAUUCUGAGCAGUAAAUAAUGUGAAUUGAUACACUGCCCUUUUGAAAACUGAAAAAUUGUUGUUAAUUUGAUAGCUAAAAUCCAAUAUGAGAUCUCUUCCAUCUGCUGCAGCUUGAAUCUUUGUUGUUUAUCUCAGACUCAAAGAAUAGACAAAGCAAAGGAACCUGAUGGUUUCUUUUUACCCUUCCUUUUUGCUGUUAUUUGAUCUAUCCUAAAAUGAGUAAUGUCUUUCUCUUGCCCUUGUUUUAGCCAUUCUGUACAAUCUCUAUCACACAAAUCAGCCAAAGAUUUUUUUUCAAAAAGUUCCAAAACUGUAGGAAUGAAAGAUUUCCCCCACAUAAAGAAAACUCCAUCAUACCCCGUGCACCCACCUCUAGUGGUUUCUAAUUGCACAUUCUCAUCUCUCUUUGAAGGAUUGUCCAUCGCAAUGUGUUAUACUUUUCUUAAAGCAAGUACUCUUAUUCUCCCCCAGUCUUCUAUCAUAUAGCAAGAGCAUUGGUGGAAAUUGCUUUUCCAUAAAAAGAACUAUGCCACCUACUCUUCAAAUGCCAGUGAUUAAGAAAAUCAUUGAUCGAUUUUUUUUCCUCCUAGGGAAUAAAUGAGGCUUUCCCCUGAGAGUGGAAAGAAUGAAAUAAUGGGAUGUAAAGAAUGAAGAUGACUGUGUGUUAUGAGGAAAAUGUUUAUGCAGUUGCCAUGGAAACAACAUGUAGUCAUUCAAAACAGAAGCUUAUAUCUCAGUAUUUGUCAAAUAUAAAUAAGAUAUGGUUUGCAUUUAUUCUCUUUCUUGGCCUAAAUUUAUUCUGACACAUAUGGUUAUGUAAAAUAUGUUCCUGCUUUAGUAUAUUUGCUUAAUGCUUGCAGGAAUCUAGCAAUACAUGAGAUGCUAUGAUUUAAAAUCAGAUACUUGAGUCAUAGAAAUAAAAUUAGGAAAGCAACUCUCAGCAAAUAAUUCCUAAAAAUAAAUGACAAUAUAUUCAGAGUGCCCACUGCUGGGCUCUCCUGUGACUUUCAUCAUUAACAAAACUUAUUAAUUUUUCUUAAUUGAAAUAUACUCACAGUGUUAGACAUAAUUGGUACUAAUUCUUUGUAAGUGAUAUCAAAUGCAGAAAAUUCAUAGUUUGAUAGUUUUUUCUUAUUUAACACGUGUUUCAUCUCUCAAAUGGAAUAAGGCACAAUAGAACAUGUUUCUGAAUUGUUACUAGAUUUCUGUUAGAAAACUUCAGUUGCCUUCAGUUUCUUACUUUAUAAGUGAGGCAUGAUAGAAAUCUUGAGAGGACAUACAUGAGUUUUGAGGAUUUGGAUAAUUUGACAAAAAUAUUCAGAGCUUGCACUUUUAUCAGUAACUAAUUCCAAAAAUAGUAUAGAAAAUGCAAGCCAUGCACACUGCUACUGCCUUUUAACGGAGACACUAAGUAGAACAAUAGAAGACUCUAAAAACAAUUAGAAUAGGCUUCUUUUGUGGAAAACUGGCUGUUAUCUACUUAACUCCAAUACCUCAUCCAUUCAUGCCUACAUUGUUAGCCAUUUCCUAGCUCAUCAGUUUAUCACCCUAUGUAUUUUCUCUUCUCUUAGAUUUCCAUAAAGACGAGCACUUAGUGAAGAUAUAGCCUACAGGCAUAAUGUUUUAUUAAAGCAGUAAUUGCUUAUAGUCCAAUAAAUGUAACAAUAAUUUAAUGAGACCAAAUAGUUAUACACAUUGAACAGUAGGAAAAGGCUAAGACUUUUUAAAGGAGAUCAAUUUUAAGUCAGAACUGAAAGGUAAGGAUUUUUCUAAUUUUUGACAAUAUUAAAAAAAUUUUAAAAUGUGUACACCUUUUAAUCCUAAAUUAAACUUCCAAGAAUUUAUCUUAGGAAAUAAAGAUAUAUGCAAAAUUGUGGAGAAUGUUCACUAAACCCUGUUUAUAAUAGAGAAAUAUUGGAAAUAGCUUAAAGGAAUGGAUAAACAGUCUUAGGGUAAAUACAGAAAAUGAAAGAGUAUAUAACCAUUUAAAACAGUGUUAUAGAAGAAUAUUUACUGAUAUAGGAAAAUAUUUGUGAUGUUGUCCAGUAGAAAAAAAGCAGAGAUUUGAUUGGAAUUAUAUUAAAUCUGUAGACCAGUUUGAGAACAAUUGAUAUCAUUGCUAUGUUGGGUCUUCUACACAAAGAACACUAUGUUUCUCCAUUUACUUAGGCCUGACUUUUUUUUUUUAAUUAGUGUUUCAUAUUUCUCAGCUUAUAGCUCCUGUACCUGUUUUCUUAGAUUUGUGCAGGAGUUUUCUUUUGUUCUUUUUUGAGAUAAUCUGCAAGAUAUUUUUAAAUUUUCAGUUUCCAUUAACAUAUUGCCUAUAUAUAGAGAUGCAGUUGAUUUUUGUGUGUUGACCUUGUAUCCUACAAUCUUCAAACACUCAAAUUUUCCAAAAGUUUUUUAAAAAUUAUUUUGUAGAUCCUUUGGGAUUUCCUGUGCGCAUAAGCACACCAGAUGCAAAUGGCACAGUUUCAUUUCUUCCUUUCUAAUCUAUAUGUCUUUUAUUUCUUUUUCUUGCUUUUGUACAUUUUCUAAAACAUUUGGGAUAUGCAGAAUAGGAAACAUGAGUAUAGGCCUCCCUACCUUGCUGCCUCCUUUGGAGAAAGGCAGUCAGUCUUUCACAAUUAAAUAUGAUGCUUCCUAUAGAUCUUCUCUUGUAGAGGUCCUUGAAUCAUGUGGAAGUAGUUCCUUUCUACUCUUAGUUUACUCAGCAUUUUUAUUAUGAUGAGUGUUGACUUGUGAAAUAAAUUUUCUGUAUCAAUUGAUGUAAUCAUGUGGCUUUUCUUCUUUUGAUGUUAAUAGAUUGUUUAAUAUUGAACUUAUAUUCCUGAGGUAAACUCCACUUGGUUGUAUACAUUAUUCUUUUUACAUAUUACUAGAAAAUCUCAGGGGAUUUUUGUGUUUAUGAUCAAGGGAUAUUGGUCUAUAGUUUUGGUUAAUUGAUAUUUUAUGUUCACCUACCUGGUUUGGGCAUCAGGGUAAAGCA